Cyprinus carpio (common carp) is the source of this 1981-nucleotide long non-coding RNA. RefSeq lists it as uncharacterized. The transcript is spliced from 3 exons. The record is from RefSeq and is a predicted model, not a curated record. NCBI's taxonomy places the organism in Eukaryota, Metazoa, Chordata, Actinopteri, Cypriniformes, Cyprinidae.
UACAUCACUGUAAUUUCCAUCACAUAAUAGAAUUAAUCACAAUACAUCAACUGAGAUGUGCUGGAAAUGCCACUGUGGUGGAUAUUUUGUUUCAGAAAAAAAUGACCACAAGUGACAGGAUUCGCCUGAAGUGCAUGUAUAUUCACAGUUAAAGAUUGCUAGUGAAGAGCUUAAAAAUUGUAAGAAAUGUAUGUUUUAAAAAGAGUUUAUUUUCUACAAGUCAAUUCUAAAUCUAGUUGACCUUAGUAAACAACUAGUGGUUGCUGGAUCCAUCCCAACCCCAGAUGUUCCAUGGAGACAACCCAGUGGUUUAAUUAUGUGGUGAAAUGUCUUGCCCGUUUGAUGACCCUGGUAAUUAGAUAAUAGAGCCUGACAUUCCCAUAGAUCAGAGGCGGAUGAUACUGCACCAGUCUGGGCAUGUGCCCUUUGCCAAAUGGUCUGAGUCUUAAUAGUGUUUUGAUGGGCCACCCCUCUGUCACCACAAACCCAAGGUGGUGCAGAAACAAGGACAUCUGCUGCCAGAAAGUUGUACUCCUUUACAAUCCACCUUGCAAAUGAAUCAAUGUAUAGAAGCCGUCAGCAGACUCUCAGGACAUCUUUUGCCCUCUUGGCAUGUCUCAUGUUGUUUUAUCUGUCAUCAAGACUGAAUAAGCCAUGGAACAUCAAAGAGACAGGAAGGCCCUCAGAGGUUCUGAUACAGUACAACAGAGCUCAUGCUAAUUCUUCUAUGCCAGCCUCGGUCUCCGAGGACGUCCUAUUAUUUGAGAAAUGUGAGCUGCAUGCAGGCGAAUUAGCAUUGGUUUUAUUUUUUUGUCUUAUAUUUUGUGGGUUUGGUUGACACACACUCUUACCUUAACACUGAGAAUGAAAUUAGCUUAAAAAAAUACUUGCAGUCUUUGAAAAAGCUUAGUCUCCAAUUGCGCUUCGGUUCAUAGCCCUCUUUCUCUAAAGUGCCUCAAUAAAGUCUAUCACCUUAUUUGCGAAAGUAAUAUGGCCCAGUGCGAUCCCAAAUUACAUAUAAAUGACACAGCAAAUUGGAAAAUUAGGAGAGGAGGGAAGGGUAAUUUGCAAGCAAACAGGGUAAAACCAAUUUAUUAGGAGAGCAGGGAGAAAAAUAGCCACAGCUACUGACAUCCAUAAAAACAUCAGUCUCUCAUUCAGACUCGCAGGUGUAUCUCUAAAAAUCCUCCUCAGGUCAAAUAUCUGAAUGUCUAUUAAAAGUGAGAAGGAUGCCGUUUAAAUGAAAUUGAAUGAUUUUGUGAUUCAUUUGGUCAAAUAAUUAGCAUUUAAAAUGAGAAAGUGUUUUGAAUGAAGUCUAAAACAUGACCUGGUUUCUACAGGUAUUUCUUCUGAUGUUCUGACUGCUGCUUGGACAGAUGAGGAGUCUGAAGGAAAGGCCAUUAGUGUGCACUCUCACUGUGUUCUAUCCCUCAAUUGGCACUUGUCCUUCUCCAGGUGAGUCUCUAUGCUCCACAUAUGGAGAUUUCACAGGCUGCAGAUGGAUGGCCAGUGUGAGUCCGGAGAAUUUGAGGUCCCUGGUUUAAAGUUUCUGACCAUCAAAUGGGCCCCAUGGGUUUCGCUGGAGAACCGGCUCCUCUCACGCCAUCUGUUAGCCUCUUCCUGAUCUUGACACCAGGGAAACCUGUCCAAUCAAAAGUUCUUCAGAUACUGUUCUGACAGAAGGCCCCCGUAGGCCUGUAGAAAUCAGAAAGAAUGUAAUCCAUACAGCGGUAAGUUUAUACAGUUUGCCAAGUUUCUCUCACUCAAACUGGGAAGGGCAUCUGUAGUUCCUAGCAUGCUUUGCAUUGGGAGUAAAUGUUGGUUAUUUUAAAAGUUCUUUAUAAAGUGUUGCUUCAGAGAGGGAGACUUGAUAAUGUUUAAUGUCAAAGUAAAAGUGAAGUGACAUGUGACCCAUACUCGGAAUUUGUGCUCAGCAUUUAACCUAUCCAAUUGCACACACACACACACAGUAGUGAACACA